Long non-coding RNA from Myotis myotis, 523 nucleotides. RefSeq lists it as uncharacterized. NCBI's taxonomy places the organism in Eukaryota, Metazoa, Chordata, Mammalia, Chiroptera, Vespertilionidae. The record is from RefSeq and is a predicted model, not a curated record. The transcript has 3 exons.
UCAAUCCACGAUGUCGCCAAUGGUAAGGUGUGUUUUUUUAAUGACUGAGUAACAUCCCACUGUCCACAGGUGCCACCACUGUUAUCCACUCGUCUAUUGAUGGCGCUAAGGUUCCUCCCACGCCUUGGCGAUUGUAAAUAUACUGCAGUGAACACGGGGAUGCAUCUCUCCCCUCCCUCCCACUCUCUCUAAAAAUCAAUGGCGGAAAAAUAUCCUUGGGUGAGGAUUAACAACAACAAAGCGUCUUGUAGAUCAGAGCUUGCGGUUUACCCUAUGGCAAUAAAAGGAAAUCAGAAUACAUGGAGGGGAGCUCAACCGGAGGCAGGAAGACCAGAAGGCGGCCCAGGCGAGAAACGAAGUGGGGAUGCUAUAGGACACAGUGAAAGAGAUGGCAAAGAGGUCGGCGAUAAGAAAGCCAAUGGAAAAAACACAAAGAAGUAAAAGGAUGAGGGAUUGAAACUAUGCGUGACUCAAAAGAAUUUCAUCCUUGACCCUGGAUGCUGCGUCAUGGAGCCAAAUUAAA